This 307-nucleotide ribosomal RNA is filed under the name uncultured bacterium. RNAcentral describes it as "bacterial SSU rRNA". It matches the Rfam family "Bacterial small subunit ribosomal RNA", at positions 30 to 337 of the family's 1533-position model. The record is from RNAcentral.
AUUGAACGCUGGCGGAAUGCUUUACACAUGCAAGUCGAGCGGCAGCGCGGGGGCAACCCUGGCGGCGAGCGGCGAACGGGUGAGUAAUACAUCGGAACGUGUCCUUAAGUGGGGGAUAGCUCGGCGAAAGCCGGAUUAAUACCGCAUAAGCCCUGAGGAGGAAAGCGGGGGCUCCGUAAGGACCUCGCGCUGUUGGAGCGGCCGAUGUCGGAUUAGCUAGUUGGUGGGGUAAAGCCCACCAAGGCGACGAUCCGUAGCUGGUCUGAGAGGAUGAUCAGCCACACUGGAACUGAGACACGGUCAGACU